Non-coding RNA from Triticum urartu, 2275 nucleotides. The record is from RefSeq and is a predicted model, not a curated record. NCBI's taxonomy places the organism in Eukaryota, Viridiplantae, Streptophyta, Magnoliopsida, Poales, Poaceae.
UGAGACGGAGACGGAAGCGCCCUCGCCGACCUCGUCCUGUCCACCCGCUCCGGAUCCAGCCCCAACGGCUACCCACCAGCUCCACUUUCCUUCUAUACCCGCCGCCAUGCCACGCACGCCACCUCGCCGAAGCCGUGUCCUGCAAGGACAAGCCUCCGGCUGCCGCGACUGCCUCUGCCCCGGCUAUAAAGGCACGCCCUUUGGCCGGCCAGCUCCCCCUCUCUUUGCCAAGGCCACUCCUCCUCUCUUUGAGUCUUCGUUCACGCCAUGCCUCUCGCCUCGAUUCAUCCUCGACCUCGACUGAUGCCUCGCCUCCUCUCGCGUCUGGUUUCAUUUCGCCCAUCCUCGCUCGAUUCGUCCAUUCAGAUUAGAAGAAGCAGAUUUGGUUUUGCUCAUCCGUGGGGUUCUUGAUUUAUUUGGUUCUGCUCGUCCUCGUUGUCGUUCGUUCAGAAACCGCGUCUAGUUCUUUCGAUUCUGCUCGUCCUCGCUGUCAUUCGUCUAGGAAUUGCGUCUGGUUCAUUCGAUUCUGCUCGUCCUCGCCGUCGUUCGUUUAGAAAUGGCGUCUGGUUCAUUCGAUUCUGCUCUACUCAUCCUCGAUGUAGUUCGUUUAGAUCAGAAUCACCUCUGUUUUGAUUUUGCUUGUCCUCGCCGUCGUCAGUUUAGACAGAAUUGCGUCUGGUUUGAUUCUGCGCGUUCUCACCGUAGUCCGUUUGCAAUCGCGUUUGCUUUGAUUCUGCUCGGUCCCCUGUGUUGCUGCUGGGUUUGUUACGCUGACGCUCUCGUGUGUUCUUCGUGCCAUCUCGUCGUGGGUAUCUGUGGAGGAAGCGAGCGGUCAGUCGGUUUGGGUCGUCUAGUUUGCAAACUAACAAGUCUGUUUGAGAAACUUCUGCGUCCGGCCUGCGUUUCGUCUUCGUGUCUGUUUUUGAAAUUGGAUUGCCGUUUAUCGCGCUCGUUCAGAUCGGUUCCUCUGUCCCGUCACCUGCGUUGUUUGUCCGUUAUUUUCAUAUCUGAAAUGCAUGCGCCCUUUGAUACUACUGUACUUGAUGGAUGUUCAUAUCUCAAACGCUGCCUUGUUCAGAUCGGUUGUUCUGAUUGAAAUAGGAUUGUUACCCCUGUGUCGAUACUUAUUCUACUUGAUGGAUGUCCAGGGUGUUACUACUUAUGUUCUUUUCAAUUGCUUAAUUCUUGUCAUGCUUUGCUGAUGUUCCCAUAUAUGGUUAUGUGUAUUCAGGGGUGCUUAGGCAGAAGGAUUUACUAGAGUGCAAACCAUGUAAUUCCUCAUGUUGCUGCUACUUCACAGUCACAGUGCUUGAAUUUCUUUAUAGCUUUAUCUGAAUCACACUCACCGCUCUAGAGAAAUCAGUUUACUCAUUCAAGUUCUGGAAUGUCCUUAUAGCUUUCUCUGUUUGUGCCCCUAUCUAUGUAUGUUUCUUGUGUGCAAGCGCCGCUCCAUUCUGUGUGUGUGGCUUGAUGGUUAAUAUGUGUGGCUUGACUCUGUGUGUGUGUGUCUUGAUUGUGUGUGUGUGUGGCUUGACUGUAUGUGUGUGUGAAUGUGUGUGGCUUGAUGGUGAAUAUGUCUGGCUUGACUCUGUGUGUGUUUGUGUGUGGGACUGUGAGUGGCUUGACUCUGUGUGUGUGGCUUUGUGUGUGUGUACGACUGUGUGAAUAUUGCAUUUGCUUGAUGGUGUGGCUUCUGUAUUGUAUGCUUUGUUGAUUGAUUUGGUUGUAUAACUUGUGUUUUAUAUUGUUGCGGCAUGAUUGGUUGUUGUUUGUUGAAUGUGAACUCGUAUCUUGACGAAUAAUCAUGUAUGCUAACUUGGUAUCGGUAGUUCCUGAUCAUAGGUAACACACCUAUUACUUUUUAGUGUAGACUAACUAUUCUUUUUUCUGAACUUUUUUUGUGAUUAUGUCUUUACAUUGCACUGCUCCCAGAUCCAUAUCGACAUGCCCACACUGUCUGACGAGGAUAAAGAUGUUAUGAAGAAAUAGGGUGCCCCAACCAAGAUUGACUUCCUCUCUCUUUCUUAUACAAGGCAUGCAGAAGAUGUGCUGCCAGCAUGGGAGUUCCUCUCAAAGUUAGGUGAACUUAGUCAAACUCUGUUUUUGCAAAACUUGAGAAUGUGGAGAGCCUGAACCAUUUUGAUUGGAUCCUGGAAGAAGCAGAUGGUAUAAUUCUGUCAAGAGGAAACCUUGGAAUUGAUCUUCCACCUGAAAAGGUGUUCUUAUUUCAGAAGUCUGCUCUGCACAAGUGCAACAUGGCUGAGGCAACUGAUGU